This is a long non-coding RNA of Cloeon dipterum, 329 nucleotides long. RefSeq lists it as uncharacterized. The record is from RefSeq and is a predicted model, not a curated record. NCBI's taxonomy places the organism in Eukaryota, Metazoa, Arthropoda, Insecta, Ephemeroptera, Baetidae. The transcript is spliced from 6 exons.
GACCGAAACACUUCCACGGGCAUAAAAACUAAAGGAAAAAUAAUCAGUGUAACCGCCCCUCUGGACCGAAAAAUCAUCAUUAAAACCACCUCAACACGGAGAUCUUACAUAAUCAAAUGCUGUGGCCACAAGAAAUGCUUAAAAUCAAACAAAAACAGAAAUGGCACAUCAAAACACAAAAGUUGGCGCACGAUGUUCAACUCACCUUCCCAAAAAAAGGUUAAAAUUGGCAAUAAGAAGUACAAGUUUCCUUUUGCCAAGGCUACUUUUUCCGAUGCCAAGAAAAUUUGCGAAAAGGAUCAGAUGGAGAUCGCAUCUUUGGACAGUCC